Acromyrmex echinatior (Panamanian leafcutter ant) is the source of this 851-nucleotide long non-coding RNA. The record is from RefSeq and is a predicted model, not a curated record. Lineage: Eukaryota; Metazoa; Arthropoda; Insecta; Hymenoptera; Formicidae.
CAUACAUAAGGGAACAAAGAAAAAAUAAAUUAGAUCAACAAAACAAUUUGGAAUCUCAAGUAUCAAAUUAAAAGUUUAAUCACAUCAAAAUUCUUUUCCAAUACUUAUCGGAGGUUCUGUUUGUACAGUAAUAAACACGAAUCAUGAACUUUAUUAACAUGAGUGAUAAAUUUAAAGAUGGAAUGUGUUAAAUGAAGAAAAGUAAUGCAACAAUGCAUUUCCAGGCGUAACAAAUAUGCACUUUGAAACUGUUGACAGGUAAAUUUAAGUUUACUUUAUAUAUCAUUUCUGAAAAACAAUCUUGCUUUGAUUACUUUUAUCUUAUAUUAUCAUUUAAUAUAAAUUUAAGAUAAAUACUCUUUCAAAUAGAGUAUAAGUAGUUUUUAAUACAAAUGUACUUUCUGAUAUCACAUAAACUCGCGGCAUGCGAAGGCAGUGCUAAUAGAAAAAUGCAAUUGAGAAUUAAAUAAGUGAUAUUAUAACUGUUUUUACGGCGUAUAUAAUUAAAGGAUAAUAAAUACAUAACUUUCCUAACAUCAAUUUCUUUGAAACAGAAAAAAAGUUUUUUAAUAUUAAAAGUUUUAAAAAUAAAAUAAAAAAAUUUUGUUAACUUUUUUAUAUUGCAUAUGUGUGAUUUGUAACAUUAAAUCUCUGAUCGAUGUCGUAAAAGACGAAACCUCACAAUUACAAACAAAUCUAGCAAAAUUCCAUAAUGUAAUGAGUAUACAAAGACUGCGUUAAAUUAAUUUAAACAAAUUAACAAUUUUAACUUAAAAUAACAUACAUUGCAUAUUUCUAUCUAUUAGCAAAUAAUACAGCGAAAGAAAUUAUGUUUUUGUUAAAACUUUGAA